RNAcentral lists this ribosomal RNA (420 nucleotides) under uncultured bacterium. RNAcentral's name for it is "bacterial SSU rRNA". It matches the Rfam family "Bacterial small subunit ribosomal RNA", at positions 356 to 773 of the family's 1533-position model. The record is from RNAcentral.
AGGGAAUAUUGGGCAAUGGGCGAGAGCCUGACCCAGCCAUGCCGCGUGCAGGAAGAAGGCUUUCUGAGUCGUAAACUGCUUUUGACAGGGAAGAAUAAGCUGGACGUGUCCAGUGAUGACGGUACCUGCAGAAUAAGCACCGGCUAACUCCGUGCCAGCAGCCGCGGUAAUACGGAGGGUGCGAGCGUUGUCCGGAUUUAUUGGGUUUAAAGGGUGCGUAGGCGGCCGUUUAAGUCUGGGGUGAAAGCCCGCUGCUCAACAGCGGAACUGCCCUGGAUACUGGAUGGCUUGAGUACAGACGAGGUUGGCGGAAUGGACGGAGUAGCGGUGAAAUGCAUAGAUACCGUCCAGAACCCCGAUUGCGAAGGCAGCUGACUAGGCUGUUACUGACGCUGAGGCACGAAAGCGUGGGGAGCGAAC